Molecule: long non-coding RNA, 2714 nt
Filed under: Cricetulus griseus (Chinese hamster)
Lineage: Eukaryota; Metazoa; Chordata; Mammalia; Rodentia; Cricetidae
Description: lncRNA (ENSCGRG00015034870.1)
Source: RNAcentral
GUAACGGUGUUUCAUUACUGCAAUAGUAACCCUAACUAGGACAGAAAUUGGUACCAGGAUUGGGGCAUUGCUGUGAAAACCUGACCAUGUGUUUUUUGGAGGAUUGUGGAAGGACUUUGGAACUGAGGACUAGAAAAAGCACUGAAUGUUCAAAGCUUGGUGAGCUGUUGUGUGAGAGCCUGGAGCAGAUAAGAAUGUUGAGAGGAAUGCAGAUGAUGGAGGCCUGGCCUAUGAAAUUCCCCAGGGAAGUUUGAGUCACUUAAAAACUCUGUUGGAGCCAUUGCAUAUUUUGAGUUAAAAAUCUGUGGUUCUGGUCAGCUGAUGCUAAAGAAUCAGCUGUGAUUAACAAAAGUCCAGCACCAUUAAAGCAAAACCUUUGUGUUACUGGGACAGUUGAUAUCGGUCAGCUGGAGCUGAGAAAUUAUCGAUGAUUAAGAAGAGACCAGCAUCACUGAGAUGGAAUCUUCUAGCAAGUGUUUCCUGAGAGUCAGCACACAGAACCCGUGUUCAGAGCUGGCCAAGGUUGUACCAUAUGCUGGCAUCUGAACUUGGUCAUUUGUAAGAGUUGUCCAGGUGGUUCUGGUUAAUUUUUGAAGGCAUGAGGUGUCAUGGAGAACGGCUGAGGCUUGGCACUGUGUGGAAGGGCUGGAGCCUCUGAAGGGAACUCAGGAGAGAGGCUAUUGGUGAGACCGCAGCAUUUUGGAGAUGCCAAUGCGGUGGGACAAGCACCAAGAACAGUAGCAGUGGUGGAGUGGAGCCAGCAGGAGCCCAGAAGACAAGCUGUGUGCACUGCAGCAGGUGGGGCUGGAGAAUGGACCCAGGCCCUUUGGAGGAGUCGGAAAAUGUCUAGGAUCCCAGCCCACUGAAUCUUGUCACUCAGAUUUAGUUGGGUGUCUUUCCUCCUUGGUUUAACCUUUCUUGAUGCACCCCCAGAGAUGUAUCUCCAGUGUGAUUUGAAGACCCACCAUGUUGACAUCAAAAUCAAACAUUGCAAUUGCAAACACCCAAAGGACUUCAACUCCAACCACAAAGACACUUGGAAAUAUUGUUGCUGCUCUAUUCACCACAGCAAGGAAAUGGAAGUAGCCCAAAUACCCACCAACAGAUUAAGGAAUAAUGAGAACAUGUUAGAUAUACAUGAUGGCAUUUUAUUCAGCUCUAAAGAAAAGUGAAAUCAAACUUUCAGGAAAAUGGAUGGAACUGUGAAGAUAAUAUUAAGUGAGAUGACCCAGUUUCAGAAAGACAAAACCCCAUGUUCUCCCUCACAGGCAGAACUGAGCCACCUUGUUUUUUAUAACCACAGUGUAUGUUCUUUGUAUAGUGAUGAAGCUGCCGGAUGAUGCUUCUCUCAGCAAGGAUUUCCGUUGUUAAGCAACACAUGACUGGAUUUAGAGAUGGGAGAUAUGGGAUCCUGAUUUGGAAGAAGAAUGAACAUGUAAUGUUCCUUGACAUUGCCAAGUUCCUCCCAAGGGAGUGCAACUCUUUCCAUUCCCCCCAGUGAGGCAGAAGAAUGCCAUUUCCCCACAGUCUUACCAAGAAAAUUUAUUGUCGAACUUCUGGAUUUUUGCCAGUUGGAUUAUGAGAAAUGAAGUGCCCAGAGAAUUCUACAUUUUCUUCUAAUGAGGGGGAGCCACUCUUUUAUUUCUGCAACUGAGAUGAGCCCCUUCCACUAAUUUUUUGGCUUUUACUUUGAUAUAACUAGUUAUAUCUGGGUUUUUGCUUUGCAGUGUCAGCUAUGGUCUCUUUGGCCAGCAGGGGUCAUGAGGGGUAUCUUGGGGACCCUUCUUAUGGCUUUAAUUUUGACUUUGUUCACUGGGUCUUAGAAGGUGAAGAUCAGCUCCAAGGAUCAUGAGGGUUUGGUCCUCACUUUCCAUCCUGUUUAAGACAGUCUCUUGGGGCUCAUCUCUGUGAUACCAGACUAGCUCACCUAUGAGUUUCUGCAGCUUCUCCCGUGUCUUCCCCCUAUAUGCCCCCAAAAGUGCUGGGAUUACAUAUGUGUGCAUGUGUCUUUCUUUUGCACGGGUUCUAGGGCUCCAGACUGGGGUUGUCAGGUUGUAUGGCAAAUGCUUUAACCACCCAGCUAUGCUACCCCUCCCCUGUCCUCCUUUUCUAGGAUUUUGAGAGACAAAAGAUGAUUGAUUUGAGACUCCUGUUCUUCAGCGUAGGAUUCCAUUUCAAUCAUCUCUCAGGAUUUCUUUAGUUGUAUCCCACAAAAUCUGAUAUGUUUUAUUUCCUUUUUCUUUAAGUUCAAUGGGCUUUAAUUGUUUUUUGAACUGUUCUCUUUGGUUCAUGAAUGAUUUAGAAAUAUAUGAUUUAGUGUCCGAUGGAUGAAAGAUUUUCAUUAUUUAAAGUUUUAUUACAAUGUGGUCAGAGGGUACAUUCCAUGUGAUUAAAAUAUUUAAAUGUGUUAAUACUUAUUUUUAUGGCUCAGAGGCGUCUGCCUUGGUACAUGUCCCACAGGCACUAGAAAAGAAUGUGUACCACUUCUGGUGGGUACAUAUUUUUCUGAAUACUUGUUCUAUACACUGCUGAGAAUUAGAUGUUGGAAUCCCCAACCAUAUAAUCUUGUAUUUAAGCUUGGCAUGGUGUCACAUGCCUGAGAGGAUGGUACCAGAGGCAGGAUGUCACAAGCCUAGGAGGAUGAGGCCAGAGGCAGGGUGAUAGCAACUUUGCAGCCUGGGAUAUACACACAGCAAGAUCCUGUUUCCAAAAAC